Molecule: ribosomal RNA, 253 nt
Filed under: uncultured bacterium
Lineage: Bacteria
Description: partial 16S ribosomal RNA
Rfam family: Bacterial small subunit ribosomal RNA
Source: RNAcentral
UACAGAGGUCUCAAGCGUUGUUCGGAUUCAUUGGGCGUAAAGGGUGCGUAGGCGGCGGAGCAAGUCAGGUGUGAAAUCCCGGGGCUCAACCCUGGAACUGCACUUGAUACUGCUUUGCUAGAGUACUGGAGAGGAGAUUGGAAUUUACGGUGUAGCAGUGAAAUGCGUAGAUAUCAUGAGGAAGACCAGUGGCGAAGGCGGGUCUCUGGACAGUUCCUGACACUGAGACACGAAGGCCAGGGGAGCAAACGGG